UACGUAGGGGGCAAGCGUUGUCCGGAUUUAUUGGGCGUAAAGAGCGUGUAGGCGGCCAGGUAGGUCUGCUGUGAAAACUCGAGGCUUAACCUCGAGCUGUCGGCGGAAACCAUCUGGCUAGAGUCCGGAAGAGGAGAAUGGAAUUCCCGGUGUAGCGGUGAAAUGCGCAGAUAUCGGGAAGAACACCUAUGGCGAAGGCAGCACUCUGGGACGGUACUGACGCUGAGACGCGAAAGCGUGGGGAGCGAACAGG
RNAcentral lists this ribosomal RNA (253 nucleotides) under uncultured bacterium. RNAcentral describes it as "partial 16S ribosomal RNA". It matches the Rfam family "Bacterial small subunit ribosomal RNA", at positions 524 to 776 of the family's 1533-position model. The record is from RNAcentral.